UACGGGGGGGGCAAGCGUUGUUCGGAAUUACUGGGCGUAAAGGGUUCGUAGGUGGCUUGCUAAGUCAGACGUGAAAUCCCUCAGCUUAACUGGGGAACUGCGUCUGAGACUGGUGAGCUUGAGUGCAGGAGAGGAACGCGGAAUUCCAGGUGUAGCGGUGAAAUGCGUAGAUAUCUGGAGGAACACCGGUGGCGAAGGCGGCGUUCUGGACUGCUACUGACACUGAGGAACGAAAGCCAGGGGAGCAAACGGG
RNAcentral lists this ribosomal RNA (253 nucleotides) under uncultured bacterium. RNAcentral describes it as "partial 16S ribosomal RNA". It matches the Rfam family "Bacterial small subunit ribosomal RNA", at positions 524 to 776 of the family's 1533-position model. The record is from RNAcentral.